Molecule: long non-coding RNA, 1404 nt
Filed under: Pan troglodytes (chimpanzee)
Lineage: Eukaryota; Metazoa; Chordata; Mammalia; Primates; Hominidae
Description: long non-coding RNA NONPTRT008446
Source: RNAcentral
CCAGGGGAGAAUAGCUGAAGGCAGCUGUUUUAUAAUCCUGAGACAGAGGAGAAGGAGUAGAUACAAGGGAGUGUGAGGGAAUUUAUCUUAAACAGACUUCUUUACAUAUUUACUUGUGUUCACCAGGAACUGACCUUUGAUCAUCUGCAUGACGUUCUCUGAAAGGGGAACAAUAUAUGUUAAUUACCUGCAGGUUGUGUUGGCUCCAGGUUGUCAGCAUUGUGCCUGCAUGGAAUAAAAGCAAGCAGCUCCAGUUUUUUGGAUUGCACUCUGGCCACUAGAGCUGGGCAAUCCCCUAGCUGCUCUUACACUGCAUACCUGUGUCUCAGUACUCAUUUCAACUGUCUGCCAGGAUCUGUGGGACAGACCCAGCAGGUGGUGCCCCAUGUAAGAAGCAAUGAAAUGCAUCAUGAUGGAACCCUCAAAAACGAAAGUGAAGUUACUGCACACCCCUUAGGUCCUCUUUGGAUUCCAGCAUGAUGCAUCAAACCUUACCACGGCAUGACUAGGGCCCAACCCGGUACCAGAAAUAAAGGAAAUGACGAUGCAGAACCCACAACCCUGGAUGAUGUGGCUUCCUUGGAUGACACAGGCCCCAGACAUUACCUGGGGAAUGCUGAAGAACACAACUCAGGAGGCUGAACAAAUCUGCUUCAGACACAGAUACCAUUCAAUCCAUAUAAUUUGUUCUUUGCUAUGCUUUUUAUUCCACAUUGCAACUCUUAUGGAAUACUGAUUCUUCUUAUUCUCUCUUUUUGCCUGCAACCCACACCUGCUAUACACUAUUGGGCCCAUCUUCUAGAUCUGCCUUUCUUACCGCCUUUUACUUGGGAAGAUACCCCCUUCUCAGCCUCUGACAAUGUGACCAAUUGGCUGGGAGGUAUUGACAUACCCCCGGUGGGGGUCCCUCAGUAAUGGCACACAUUGGACUCAGGUGCCAAGUAACAUUACAUAUCAAUCCUUGAUUGGAAAAGAAUAAUAUUGAUUAUACUCAUGUUUGUCUUAUGUUAUUUACUGGUUCUAGGGUGCAAAGCUGGAACACAAGCUGUAACCAUUGCACCAGUCAAACCUGUCGCUGCUCACAUCUGUAUGCUUCAAUCAACAAAACCUGAUGCAAAAAACAGAAAAAGGGGAGAUGUGGGAGAUUGGUCAGAGUGGUGGAAAAAGUACAGGGAAAGAACGCAAAUUUUCUGAAAUGUUGGAAGGUCCUGCAGAGCCCCAGGGGAAAAUAGCUGAAGGCAGCUGUUCUAUAACCUUGAGGCAGAGAGCAAGCAGUAGGUACAAGGGAGUGUGGAAGAAUUUAUCUUAAACAGGCUUAUUUACUUAUGUUGAUCAGGAACUGACCUUUGAUCAUUUGCAUGUGUGACAUUCCCUGAAAGGGGAACAAUAAAUGUUAAUUACCUG